CCAAGUCAGAGAUUACAUUGUUUUUGUCAUAAAAAAGUGUUAACUGAAUAUCUGACUGAAAUGAUCGAAGAAGCUUUCACUAAUAUCCUUGGGGCAUAUGUUGCUUGGUAAGAUGAUCUGAUACAAUCAAUAGACUACUAUGUUCACUAAAUCAUGAAUGCAUAGCCUAGGAAAUUUGUGUGCUAUUGUUUCGAGCCUCUGGUUUGACUGGUAGUGGCCUUUAGUUUGCAUGCCUGCACCCAAGAAGCUCAUGUUCUUGAAAGUUUUCCCCUUCGAGGAGCCUGACUUGAUUUGCAUCAUUUUUGUGUUUCUGCUGCACUAGUUUCCAGUAUAUGUACGUGUGAUUGCAAUGGCUGAAGGUUCCAUCCCCUAUAGCACUUGUUAGGAUCGUCAAGCAUUAUACACUUUUGAAAGGCAGCAACUUUAUUUAUUGGACG
Molecule: unclassified non-coding RNA, 437 nt
Filed under: Hevea brasiliensis (rubber tree)
Lineage: Eukaryota; Viridiplantae; Streptophyta; Magnoliopsida; Malpighiales; Euphorbiaceae
Source: RNAcentral